Molecule: ribosomal RNA, 496 nt
Filed under: Paenibacillus xylanexedens
Lineage: Bacteria; Bacillati; Bacillota; Bacilli; Caryophanales; Paenibacillaceae
Description: bacterial SSU rRNA
Rfam family: Bacterial small subunit ribosomal RNA
Source: RNAcentral
UCAGGACGAACGCUGGCGGCAUGCCUAAUACAUGCAAGUCGAGCGGAGUUGAUAGGAAGCUUGCUUCUAUGAUACUUAGCGGCGGACGGGUGAGUAACACGUAGGCAACCUGCCCUCAAGUUUGGGACAACUACCGGAAACGGUAGCUAAUACCGAAUAAUUGUUUUCUUCGCCUGAAGGAAACUGGAAAGACGGAGCAAUCUGUCACUUGGGGAUGGGCCUGCGGCGCAUUAGCUAGUUGGUGAGGUAACGGCUCACCAAGGCGACGAUGCGUAGCCGACCUGAGAGGGUGAUCGGCCACACUGGGACUGAGACACGGCCCAGACUCCUACGGGAGGCAGCAGUAGGGAAUCUUCCGCAAUGGGCGAAAGCCUGACGGAGCAAUGCCGCGUGAGUGAUGAAGGUUUUCGGAUCGUAAAGCUCUGUUGCCAGGGAAGAACGCUUGGGAGAGUAACUGCUCUCAAGGUGACGGUACCUGAGAAGAAAGCCCCGGCUA